GUCCACGCCGUAAACGAUGGGUGCUAGGUGUGGGGGGUGUCGACUCCCUCCGUGCCGCAGCUAACGCAUUAAGCACCCCGCCUGGGGAGUACGGCCGCAAGGCUAAAACUCAAAGGAAUUGACGGGGACCCGCACAAGCAGCGGAGCAUGUGGUUUAAUUCGAUGCAACGCGAAGAACCUUACCAGGGCUUGACAUGCACUGGAAAACCGUAGAAAUACGGUCCUCCUUCGGGAUCAGUGCACAGGUGGUGCAUGGCUGUCGU
RNAcentral lists this ribosomal RNA (263 nucleotides) under uncultured bacterium. RNAcentral's name for it is "partial 16S ribosomal RNA". It matches the Rfam family "Bacterial small subunit ribosomal RNA", at positions 793 to 1055 of the family's 1533-position model. The record is from RNAcentral.